This 84-nucleotide microRNA precursor is filed under the name Paramuricea clavata. The record is from RNAcentral. Lineage: Eukaryota; Metazoa; Cnidaria; Anthozoa; Malacalcyonacea; Plexauridae.
UUUUGAAGAGUAAAUUCUAUGUUUCGAAUUUUCUCUUCAAAUCUUAGAAUUUACUCUUCGAAACAUAGAAUUUACUCUUCAAAA